ACAAACCAUAAUGGACAAUGGCGUUCAAUAAAGAAAUCCCCAACCAAAUUUAUUCUUUACAAAAAACUAACAGUCCAAUUUGCUGAGGUAAAGGCUUGGCGCCAUUAAAAUUAUAAAAAAAAUUCCACAUGGAAUGUACAUCUCACAAGAAUUUUUCUUACUCUUCUGAAACGAAUUCAAUGAAAUCUUUCGAAUCCUAUGAUGACGAUAACCCUGGACCGUUUAGCAAAAACAGUAGUAAAGAAGGAGUGGUUCAAAGAGGAGUUCUUAAGAAAACUGACACCGCAGUAGAAUUUGUUGUUACAAGUGAUUCAAACAGCACGAAUAGUACUAAAAACCAUGGCAUGGACGCCGAAGUACAGACCAACAUAGUUGUCUAUCCUCAUCUCCUAGACGUGAAGGAAUUGGCAAACGUUGUCGUAGAAAUAUCUGUUCAAACAUCGAUUACGUUUCCACCUAAUGAAUCUCUAUCAAACGUUGUGUCGAACUUAAAGAACCCACUGGUACACAGGUCAAACUACGAGGAGGUUCCGGGUCCAUCGACAACCGACGUGGACGAAACCAAAGACACGGAUUCUAAAUCGGACCAGUCAAGUUCAAAAAAAGGCGGCGAAAAGAGGACCAAACAUUCUUCGUGUACUAAAGCUCAAGCAUCAGUUAAUAAGUAAAUAAUAAAAAAGACGUUUUGAACAAAACAAUAGAUUGUCGUAUCGUUAAUUGAAAUUUAAAAAAAUGUCAAAAUUAUUGUAAGAAUAUAUCAGUAAAUCAUUUAAGGCACACAACCAUUUAUUAAUAAAUAGUAGGAGUCCUGUUCUUUCUGGGGAAACCUACGCAUUUUCUGGAUACUCUCUAUAGAUAACUGUCGAUAUCAAAGCAAUAACCUGCUGGACAACAUAGAUCAUAACGCGAAUCGUAAAGGCCUGAUAAUGUCCUCGUAACGUUAUCGAUGAUUGAAUCUGAUCAAAUUGAAGCAGUCGACGUUGGGGUUCAAACUCUUCUUCAUUGUUACGAAGACAAUCACCAGAACAUUUAUGUUUCUUCCAACCGUGUUGUUCAGACGGUCAUUUCUUCUAUUCCUCUGAGAGACGACUACGACGAUUCUAUUUUUAUUGGCUUAUUAGGAUUCAUUCCUUAUUCCGAGAUAUAUGUGGAGUCUGAGAAUAUCAUCGUACUACCCCGUAAAAGGAAAUUGCAGUGGGCAGACCCUUUCACUAUGGAAUUGAGUUCUGAUUCAGAUAGUAUCCAAAGUAAUUUGAAGUAUAAGAAAAUGGAACCUGCGAGAUGCAAUCAAGAAACUCAAACUAUAAUUGCAGUUUAUCCGCAUGUUCUGGACGAUGGUGAUGUGGCCCAUGUCAUGCAAAAUAUUACAUGUCAAACUUCUAUAACCGCUUUACCAGACGAAUCUAUUACCAAUAUUGUACCGAUUCUUAAACAACAAUUACCGCACAAUUCAAUGUCACAAAAGACAACAACUAUCCCGAAAUAUUCAGAAAACAAUACUACAGAACCAGGUAAUAGCGAACAUCCAGUUACUGGAGGUUCAAAUGAUGCUCCUGCAGGCUCAGGCACUCCUGACAAUUCAAAUCUUCCCGAAGAUUCAGUAGCUCCAGAGGAUUCGAAUCUUCCCGAAGAUUCGGAUGUUCCUGAAAAUUUAAAGCAAUCUGACGAAGAACAGUUACCACCAGCUUCUAAAGAAUUAGAAGAAAACAUUCCCGGGGAAUUAAAAGAAAUUUCUGAAGGACCCGAAAAGAAUGAUUCUUGUAAAAUUAGCGAUCCUUGUUCAAAAAGUCCUUGCAUUGAAAAGGUGAUCCACAGGGACGACUGUUUUGAAAAUAAAGUAAGAGGAAUCCUGCAAAUGGCUGCGGAAGUUUUCGAAACUGAAAUCUGUGAAUUUUUCGAAGAACACCCGGGCGAAAAAAAAGUUGCACUUUGUAAAGAACUCUUUAAUUUUGCGGGCAUUUCUGGUUCCAAGGAGGCAGACCAAUGGGAUAAAGCAGUUAAAGACUUGGACAAAAUAGCUGCUGAGGGUGUCAACGAAGAAAACGUUUUUUCAUCUACACCCGAUGUAAAUCAGGAGGGCAUUGUCAGGCCUGUCGAAAUUUCGCCGACAAAUAAUAAUUCGGGUAACUGUUUUUGCCAAAAACGAACGAUAAAAGAUGUAGCAUCACCAGUGAAAAGAUCCAGUAAAAUACCACGUCUGAUUCAGUGUUGCGGAAAAACUGCAAACUUUUGUGGUAAUCAACAAUCAAGUAAAAUCCCGGUUUUAACUAAACGACGCUCAAAGGUUUCUCAACAAAUACAACCCUGUGUUACUUCUUCUGGUCCAGGUGAUUGCAAAGAGGUACGUUUUUCUUUCAAUUUGCCUUCUCCCCAGCUGUUUACAACAAUCGAAUCGAAGCCCCAAUACGAAUUUAAUCAUCGAUUACCGUCUGCUAUGAAACGGAGCAUUCAAGUGGGUGUAGGCCAGUGCUGUAGUACCAGGGAUGGUAUAGAGAUUCAACAAGUUUCUUCUCCGGAACCCAUACAAAACUUUGUUUACGAGUGCGACGCGGGGUACGUUGAAUCGUAUCUACAAUCUUUGGGAAACGAAAUAAAAGGUUGUCAGACUGAGAGAACAGAAUUGGGCGAAGGGGAUUGGGAUUGGGAAGAGGACGAAGAGGAAGACCCUUGCUUAUGCGAUCCCUGGAAAAAAAUCGCCGUACCACUUCCUGGUACUUACGUAUUAAAAAAGACAAAGAAAUCAUCUGAAGAAGAAAAUGAACAGACUUCAACAAAUGAUAUGGAUUUUUUGUCAAUUGAGUCGAAAAAGUUACCGACCCUUGAGCUAGUCAAACUCCCCGUUUACGAUCCCAAAUAUUUUAAAAUGACCGAAUUAUAUAUGGAACCACUGUACGAUUUCUAUCCCAUGGAAACCGAACCCGAAGACGUUUGUGGUCCAGAAACAGAAAUGCCUUGGGAAGACAUAGUUCUUCCAGAAAAGUGCAGAAUAAAAAAAGCCAACCCAACCGUUUGUACUUGUUCAAGUAGGAAACGUUUCAGCGUAUUUUCUUCCGAUAAAAAUCGUAAGGAAACCGACACAAAUGCCUCUUCGUUUGGACCUGAUCCUUGUGGAACUGUAAAUAUUAAUGCCACGGCUACAACUAGUGGGAAAUCUUCUACAAUUAUCAUUCAUAUCAAACCUCCCAACGAGGACGACAGCAACUCAAAUGAUUCUGAAUCUAUAGACAGCGUUUGUUUAAAAGAACUUCCUUUUUACGGAAUAUCGCAAUCGACUGGCACCUGUGGUUGUCCUAAACGGCAACCCUCCACUGAUGCAAAAGGGAAGCUUCCUUCCAAAUCACCUCGAAGCGUUUUAGAAAUAAAACCAAAAAAGAAGACGUUGGAUAUACCUUCAAAUCCUCCUGAAGGACUACACAAAAUUAUCAAGAAAGUAGGUGUAAGGCCUGCAAUGGAAGAAAUCACUUGUGAAACACAAAAUAAAUCGACUGACACAGAUAAAUGUGAUCAAGCUACCGAAACCAUUUCGUCAAUGUGUUCUAGAAAUCAUGCAACAUCUAAGGCUCAAUGUAAAAAAUCAGAUCUAGGCAAAAGUUGUAGUAAAACACCUAGACAAAACCCUGCAUGCCGUUGUAGAAGAACCAGGAGCAAUUCCGACUGUAACAAUAAAAAUACCAAAGAUAUAUCGACUUGUACCUCCAAAACGAUGAUGAGGCAAAGGGCUGGCGCCAGCGGGGUUUCCAAAUGUAGUGUUGGUUGUGGACCAGGGGUUUAUGUUUCUGUAGCAGCUGCCGAGAGAGAUAAACACAGCUCUCAAUCGACGUCUAAAAAAGCUUGUCCUUCAUCUGAAGAAACCAACACUGACAAAUCUCUCCCAAAAAUAAGAGCCAUCCAUUCUUUGAAACGCAUUGGACAACCCAAUGCACGAAUUUGUAAAGAUAUUCCUUCGAAUAACGAAGUAUUUGAACUGUUCAGCAAAGGACAAACUAAAGUUCAUUUUGGAGUUAAGGCAGUAUCUAAAGACUCAGCCGGUAAUAGACAAUCUGAUAAAGGUUUCUGCAUAUUCGAAUCGAAACCAGAAGAUGUGAACGAACUUGAGACAGAACCACCGUCAUUAAAUCGAGAACCAUCUUCAACAAAAGAUGAUGCCUGUUCUCCUUCGAAACCCCAAAGAAAAUAUCCAGUGGUUGCAGCCCUUAACGCGUUUGAAGAAGAAAUGAAACCCUUACGCGCUGCUCUUUGUCAAUUGCAAAAAAGAAUAUACUCUUUAGAUCUUCCUGAGAUGCAGUCACGCCAUUCCUAGACCAACGGUAGACACGGCGGUUCUUGCAAAAGGUCCCAGUACAGUAUCAGGUUUGCAAAGUAGCACCACAAAUGUGACUACUGCUACAGACGGAUAUUUAUGUUCUCGGAACUCUGAAGUAGACACUCUAAUGAAUUCUUCUACGACUACAAGUUUUACUAAUGAUUCUGAAGCAUCUGAAGAUUGAAUCAUACAACAUUCACUACCUCACAGUGAUUUGGUUUCUGUUGUCUUUUAUUAAUAACCAACUUAUACUACGCAAAUGUAAAAUUACGAUAACAAUAAUAAAAAUUCGUGCCAAAGCACCUUCGGAGUCUGAAAUUUUCAGAUUUUAGAUUUGGCAUUUUAUAAUGUCAGAAUGUACCUACAUACUCGUUUUUGAUGUUUAUAUACGUACGUCUUUUGAUUGUCAUCUAAAUAAUGACAAUUGUUCAUAAAAUUGUUUUCCUGGGUACUUGGGUCAAUGAAUUCCAAAUUUUCAAACACCAAUGGAGAAGGCUUUGUGUUGUGUGGCGUUUCUAAAAAAUGCGAACGAUUAAAUUUACCGUCAGAACCUCCGGUAGGAUUUUAUUCAAUAAUUCGCAAAAUUAAAAGACAGGGGGUGAGUGAAACUGUGCUACAACGAUUAUCUCAAACGGAUAAAAUAUUAAGAAAUGAUGAUAAUGUAUUCAAAGGUGAUACGGAAGAAUGUGAAUUAUUUCCAAAUGAAGGGGAGAGCGUUAAAGAUGGUACAACUCAAGUAGUGGACGAAGAUGCGUCGGAUACAAGCUCGUCUAAAUCGUCAGGAGUUAAGAUGUAGCGAUUAACACUUCGGAUACUUUCUUGUGGGAUAACGAAGACAAAUACAGACAGAUGUGUAGUAAAUACACAAGUACGUCGCAUAUUCCCGACAAGGAGUCGUCAGAAAUUUCCAUUGAGUCAGAAAACGCGUCAGACGGGGUUGUAUUUGAAGUGACCAAACUCGUGCAGACUGAUUCAGUCGAUGACGUACAAUUUAAAGAUGAAGUAACACAGACGGGAGAUAGUUUUACUGAGUUUAACGAUUUACAUUCGCAAACAAACAUAUUUGAAAAAUCCUACGAACAGCAGUCGACUUUCAAUUUGAUAGAUUCAAUCAGUAGUAAAGCUAUUUUUAAUAAUACGUUGCCUAUAGACUCAAAUGUUAUGAUCAGUUCCUCUCGAUUAGAAUGUAACAAAUCUAUGAAUAUUGUAGCAAAUCGUUCUGUUGAAGUUCAAGUGAAAUUGGAUAAUGAUCGUUUUCCAAACAAUCCAGAAAAUGUUAUAGAUGAUAAAGAUAGCAGGGAAAUCUUCAGAAGGGUUGUGAGCUAUUCAGUUGGGGUGCAAGUUAAUUUGGAAGAUAGGAAAACCCCUAUCAGUAGAUCUGAUAAGGCCGUUGGGGUUCCCGAAGAAGUUGAUAAAAUUUUUGGUCAUGAAAUUGACGAUUUUGACAACAGCAUCUCUAGCUAUCAUAGUACGAGGUUUUUAACAAAACUCAUAGAGGAGGAUCACGAUUUGGAAGGUGUUUCAGAAAAAACGGGAAAGAAUGGAAAACAAGGAUAUUAUUCAGAUAAAAUAAGAGCCGGAAAUGCUCCUUCAUGUUGUUCCAAUCAAGGACUACACCGUAGUAGCAAAAAAGAUUUUGAACCGUCGUUGUCAGAAAACCGGAGCAAGUUGAUCAGUACUACUUUUCGAAAUACUGAAACAACUUCGAUUUUUUCACCGAGUCCUCGGAACAACAACUCGUUCUUCUCAAAUUCUUCGUCAGAUAUGGAUCAAAUCUACAAUAAAACAAAAACAUUUCUUGGGGGAACGGGAAAUAGAAAACCGUAUUCAAAUGUUGGAUCUCCCCGGUGGCAUUCCAAUAAAAAUGAAUGCAUUCAAUUAGAAAAAUCAUAUUCCAUGCACAGUAAGAGUUCUUCUUCUCUUAGACAUAAAAAUCAUGACUUUAGAGAUGACAAAUGGUACAAUUUAUCUAUUGAUUUGAAAGCAAAAGGCGAAGAGAAAUCAAAAGAAGGUGCAACGGAUAUGAUAAGUUAUAAACAUAGCGAAGAAAAGUUUCCCGUUCUAGCAGCUUUUAGAAAUUUCUCAGAAGAAAUGAAACCAUUGAAGAAAUCGCUACAAGAGCUGAGAAAGAAAAUCUACGACCUUAAUUUGGCGGAAAUACCACCCCCUGAUUUUUCUAAUGCGUCAGAUUUGGUUUUCUCGGAAGAUCAUAAGUCAGUUUCAAAAAUUGUUGAAUUGCGAAAGAGCAACAGUCCAAUGAGAUGCCAGUAUUCAUCACGUGCCGUUUUUAUGGGUACCCCAGAAGUUUCGUCAAUUUCUUCCAUGGAUUCAGAUUUUUCAGAUGAUGAAAACGAAUUGCCUCUAUUAAAUGUUUUGCGAUCUGUACUUGAGAAAGAAGAAAGGAAAAGAAGUAGAAGACGAAGGAAAAAAGAAACUACAAGAACAAACUCACGUGUUACUAAAAAUUAAAUAAGUUUUUCUGAAUAUUGUUCGGGUCAUUAUACGUGUUAAAUCUA
Molecule: unclassified non-coding RNA, 6819 nt
Filed under: Agrilus planipennis (emerald ash borer)
Lineage: Eukaryota; Metazoa; Arthropoda; Insecta; Coleoptera; Buprestidae
Description: uncharacterized LOC108733434, transcript variant X3
Source: RNAcentral